UACGAAAGGUGCAAGCGUUACUCGGAAUUACUGGGCGUAAAGCGCGCGUAGGCGGCUAAGUAGGUCGAUUGUGAAAGCCCCAGGCUCAACCUGGGAACCGCAGUUGAAACCGCAUAGCUUGAAUGUUGGAGAGGGUGGGGGAAUACCUAGUGGAGAAGUGAAAUUCGUAGAGAUUAGGUGGAACACCAGAGGCGAAGGCGCCUGCCUGGCCAAACAUUGACGCUAAGGCGCGAAAGUGCGGGGAGCAAACAGG
Molecule: ribosomal RNA, 253 nt
Filed under: uncultured bacterium
Lineage: Bacteria
Description: partial 16S ribosomal RNA
Rfam family: Bacterial small subunit ribosomal RNA
Source: RNAcentral